This 912-nucleotide ribosomal RNA is filed under the name uncultured Verrucomicrobiota bacterium. RNAcentral's name for it is "bacterial SSU rRNA". It matches the Rfam family "Bacterial small subunit ribosomal RNA", at positions 8 to 917 of the family's 1533-position model. The record is from RNAcentral. Lineage: Bacteria; Pseudomonadati; Verrucomicrobiota.
AGAGUUUGAUCUUGGCUCAGAACGAACGCUGGCGGCGUGGAUAAGACAUGCAAGUCGAACGGAACAAUUUGGUAGUAAUAUUGGAUUGUUUAGUGGCGAACGGGUGCGUAACACGUGGGUAACAUGCCGGGAAGUAUGGGAUAGCCCAGGGAAACUUGGAUUAAUACCAAAUGUGAUCGAAAGAUUAAAGGCGGGGUAACCUGCCGCUUCCUGAUUGGCCCGCGGCCUAUCAGCUAGUUGGUGAGGUAAAGGCUCACCAAGGCGACGACGGGUAGCUGGUCUGAGAGGAUGGCCAGCCACACUGGAACUGAGACACGGUCCAGACACCUACGGGUGGCAGCAGUCGAGAAUCAUUCACAAUGGGGGAAACCCUGAUGGUGCGACGCCGCGUGGAGGAUAAGGUCCUCGGAUUGUAAACUCCUGUUAUGCGAGAGCAAAGUUAAUGGGGUAACUCCUGUUGACCUGAUAGUAUCGCAAGAGGAAGAGACGGCUAACUCUGUGCCAGCAGCCGCGGUAAUACAGAGGUCUCAAGCGUUGUUCGGAAUCACUGGGCGUAAAGGGUGCGUAGGCGGCGUGGAAAGUCAGAUGUGAAAUCCGGGGGCUCAACCUCCGAAUAGCAUCCGAUACUCCCAUGCUAGAGAACUGGAGGGGAGUCUGGAAUUCUCGGUGUAGCAGUGAAAUGCAUAGAUAUCGAGAGGAACACUAGUGGCGAAGGCGAGACUCUGGACAGUAUCUGACGCUCAUGCACGAAGGCCAGGGGAGCGAACGGGAUUAGAUACCCCGGUAGUCCUGGCAGUAAACGGUGCACGUUUGGUGUGGGGGGAUUCGACCCCUUCCGCGCCGGAGCUAACGCGUUAAACGUGCCGCCUGGGAAGUACGAUCGCAAGAUUAAAACUUAAACGAAUUGACGGA